GCUGGCCUCGAACUCAGAGAAAUCCGGC
This 28-nucleotide non-coding RNA is filed under the name Cricetulus griseus (Chinese hamster). Lineage: Eukaryota; Metazoa; Chordata; Mammalia; Rodentia; Cricetidae. The record is from RNAcentral.